This 383-nucleotide ribosomal RNA is filed under the name uncultured eukaryote. Its description in RNAcentral is "partial 18S ribosomal RNA". It matches the Rfam family "Eukaryotic small subunit ribosomal RNA", at positions 592 to 976 of the family's 1831-position model. The record is from RNAcentral.
CAAUAGCGUAUAUUAAAGUUGUUGCAGUUAAAAAGCUCGUAGUUGGAUUUCUGGUGGGAGCGAUCGGUCUGGCGCUUAGCGCGAGUACUUGCAUCGUCUCCGGCCAUCCUUGGGGAGAGUCUGUCUGGCAUUAAGUUGUCGGGCAGAGGAUCCUCAUCGUUUACUGUGAAAAAAUUAGAGUGUUCAAAGCAGGCUUAUGCCGUUGAAUAUAUUAGCAUGGAAUAAUAAGAUAGGACUUUGGUACUAUUUUGUUGGUUUGCGCACCAAAGUAAUGAUUAAUAGGGACAGUUGGGGGUAUUCGUAUUCCGUUGUCAGAGGUGAAAUUCUUGGAUUUACGGAAGACGAACUACUGCGAAAGCAUUUACCCAGGAUGUUUUCAUUAA